AACUUUUGACAACGGAUCUCUUGGUUCUCCCAUCGAUGAAGAACGCAGCGAAAUGCGAUAAGUAAUGUGAAUUGCAGAAUUCAGUGAAUCAUCGAAUCUUUGAACGCACCUUGCGCUCCUUGGUAUUCCUUGGAGCAUGCCUGUUUGAGAGUCUUGAAUAUCUCUGCUCUUAUUUUUUUUAAUUAAGGAAUAACGAGUCAGGUCCUUGGGCCUGCUUGCGGUUUGGUUACAAACACAAGCUUGCCUUAAAUGAAUUAGCUGAGCUUCAGCAGAGUUGUUAAGUAAC
This 286-nucleotide ribosomal RNA is filed under the name uncultured fungus. RNAcentral describes it as "5.8S ribosomal RNA". The stretch from base 1 to 154 matches the Rfam family "5.8S ribosomal RNA". From Rfam's summary of the family: 5.8S ribosomal RNA (5.8S rRNA) is a component of the large subunit of the eukaryotic ribosome. Lineage: Eukaryota; Fungi. The record is from RNAcentral.